AUCUUCACUAUACAACUGAAACUACAAGAGUUGGUGUAUAUUAUAUCAGCACCAUGAAGUGAAAGAACAAGAAAUGCAGAUGAGCAUAUGAGGAAGAUGAGGGCCAUAUACUACUAGUACUAGAUGAUAAUAACAGGAAAAUACCGAUAGAAGUGUUGUGGUCUUGGAGUCGGAGGCAUCUGGAGCACAAUGGACACUAUUUUUAUGCUUAGAUUGUGCAUUGCAUGCCAGGGAAGUGUACCUGGUAGACAAUGUCUAGAAUAUAGCCCAACCACACCUUGCAGCUACCGACACUCUUGUUAGACAAGGCGACCAACUAGGUGCACAACACAUCUGAUUCCUUUUGAUGAAUCUGAAGUCUUGAAAAUUUGGGUUACAAGC
Molecule: long non-coding RNA, 381 nt
Filed under: Setaria viridis
Lineage: Eukaryota; Viridiplantae; Streptophyta; Magnoliopsida; Poales; Poaceae
Description: long non-coding RNA (SVIR_LNC001210)
Source: RNAcentral